CAAUUGCAGCUACUCUGUCACUCAGUACCCUGAAAGUGUGGGCUCCUUUUCCACUUGAGUGCUGGCUGGAGAUCUCGGUUUGGCACUCCUCGGCUGCUGCAUACUGCAGUCCUGGGGUGAGCUAAGGCUUUAUGUUCCUUCCCUAGCUUGGAGGCAGCAACAGAAGGGACCUUGGCAGUGGCUAUGGCAGAAGACCUUUCACUUGUCUCUUGGGGCUCCACCCCAGAGGAAUGCAGAGCCUCUAUUGAUUGGUGCAAUUGGCCUGGGAUGGACCGGCUACUUUGUGGACCUCUGGGCAGGGGUUUUGUCGGGGCGACAGACUGGCCUCUUUCCUCAGGGCAACUGCAGCUUGCUGGAGGUGUGAUUAAAGCACUCAGGAGAACAGAGAAGAGCGAAACAAGACAAAUGCCCAUCUAGGAGAGAUCUGGAACUCAUCAAUGGAUGGAGAGGCUGAUUUCCCUCUAUGAAAAGAUUUUCAACACCAUGGCAAGUGGGAAGAAACAUCAGAAGCAGUUGAGGGAUCAAGAAGUGGGUCCUCCAGGGAUGAGGAGGCAUUCUGCUUCACGGCUUUUUAAAAUCUUUCCUCCUGAGUCAUCUUCCCAUUAAUGACUUUUUUUUGGUUUGUUUGUUUUAUAAAUCUCUUUUUGAUUUUAUAAACUGAAGAUUUCUUGUUCUGUAAUAAACACACACUUUUCUAGUCCUUCAAUAAACUUUCACACAUUUUUAUCAUGUUGUCUAUAGGCACUUUUUCCACAGUUUUAACGUCAUCUUCAUGAUCACUGUAAUCAUGAUCACCUUAAUUUGGAACCAUCUGGGCUCUUUGACCACUGGUCAGUGAAUUAACUGGAGCCUCAUUAUCGAUGUUAAAAAUGUCUCCAAUAUCUACUGCUUCGAACUUACUGGUAAACUCUGAAGUUCCAUAUUUUUGCAUAUGUAAGAAUAUCCAGCAUCAUUUUAUUUCUCACUUGACACAUGGAAUCCUUCAAACUCACCACCUUGUUCAUCACAUCACUGAACAUAAUCCCAGGGCAGAGGUUGUGCCAGGCAUAUACCCAACUGUCUUUAACCACUGUGAUCGUAGCAUUGGCAACAGCAUGUAUGGUAUCUUUCAUGCUAAAUUCUUCUUGAAAAUCUGACACAUCCAUGCCUCCAUUUGCUGCUGCUAGCAUGCUGUUAAAGAAAGUGUUUUAAUAUUUAUACUUCCUUUAUAUUUGGGAGAAAGCACAUGAAGUACACGUGUAAACAUUAUUUUUGAUGAGAAUUUCAGCUGCGGGAUGACCAG
Molecule: long non-coding RNA, 1282 nt
Filed under: Homo sapiens (human)
Lineage: Eukaryota; Metazoa; Chordata; Mammalia; Primates; Hominidae
Description: HSALNT0071728
Source: RNAcentral